UGGGGAAUAUUGGACAAUGGGCGCAAGCCUGAUCCAGCCAUGCCGCGUGAGUGAUGAAGGCCUUAGGGUUGUAAAGCUCUUUCACCGGAGAAGAUAAUGACGGUAUCCGGAGAAGAAGCCCCGGCUAACUUCGUG
This 135-nucleotide ribosomal RNA is filed under the name uncultured bacterium. RNAcentral describes it as "partial 16S ribosomal RNA". It matches the Rfam family "Bacterial small subunit ribosomal RNA", at positions 355 to 507 of the family's 1533-position model. The record is from RNAcentral. RNAcentral also lists the same sequence under 1 other name.